GAUCCUUUUGUUUUCACUCUCUGC
RNAcentral lists this non-coding RNA (24 nucleotides) under Arabidopsis thaliana (thale cress). The record is from RNAcentral. Lineage: Eukaryota; Viridiplantae; Streptophyta; Magnoliopsida; Brassicales; Brassicaceae.